RNAcentral lists this long non-coding RNA (367 nucleotides) under Bos taurus (domestic cattle). RNAcentral describes it as "long non-coding RNA NONBTAT011241". The record is from RNAcentral. Lineage: Eukaryota; Metazoa; Chordata; Mammalia; Artiodactyla; Bovidae.
GCUGACUUAGGAGUUUCUGGAUUGGAGAAGCAGCGUAUUCUGCCCUCGUCUUUCUCAGGUGUCAAAUUACAGUACCAGUGCAUUAAUUUGAGGAUUCACAACUAUAUUGAUAACCUGACAUUUUUUUUCCUGUAAACCAACAAAUGUAAGCCAAAUAGUCAGAAGUUUGUCUUGGUAAGAGAAGUUUGCCUCUGAAACAUCUGUAUUCCAAGCAUUUUAGGUCUGAUACUAUGCAUCCAUUUUUUAUUUUGCAAUGUUAAUUAAAUCUAAAACAAGAGUUUGUGUAUAUGGCAUGAAUUCAAUUAGACAUUGAAUUUCAUCUCAAUAUCUAUUAAAAGGAAUUAUUAAUAAAGUUUGUUUAUUGACA